Molecule: ribosomal RNA, 544 nt
Filed under: Trichogramma sp. sk14
Lineage: Eukaryota; Metazoa; Arthropoda; Insecta; Hymenoptera; Trichogrammatidae
Description: eukaryotic LSU rRNA
Rfam family: 5.8S ribosomal RNA (bases 1-90)
Source: RNAcentral
UGUGAACUGCAGGACACAUGAACAUCGACAUUUCGAACGCACAUUGCGGUCCACGGAUCUCGUUCCCGGACCACGCCUGGCUGAGGGUCGUUUAUAAAAACGAACCCGACUGCUCUCUCGCAAGAGAGAGCGUUGAUCUGGGCGCUCGUCUCUAUCUCUAUGCGCUCGCGCGCGCGCUCUUUCUUCUAUUCGUAGAGAGAGAGAGUGCGCGAGAGUGUGCGUAGCAGUGUGACACGUCGCCUCAAACGAACGCAAGAAAAAGAUGAAUUCGUUCGUCUAGCUGGCGCGCGGCGCUUACCGCUUGGAGAGUACGUCAGUACUUCCGAUCGUUCUGCGUCGAGUCCCGGAGCUUUCUCGACUCGUCGAGCAGCGGACCGACGUCUAGCACACGAUCAGGCUCGUCCAUGCAUCGGUCAUUGAACGCGCGCGCGCGCUCGUGCUCUCUUUUGUUUUAACGAACGAAAGUAGGUAACGACGGCUAGCUCGAAGCUUUUGCGCUGAACGAGUCUUUUUUCUCGAUCGACGACCUCAGAGCAGGCAAGAC